This 592-nucleotide ribosomal RNA is filed under the name Octodrilus gradinescui. Its description in RNAcentral is "partial 16S ribosomal RNA". The record is from RNAcentral. Lineage: Eukaryota; Metazoa; Annelida; Clitellata; Crassiclitellata; Lumbricidae.
ACCUCAACAAAUCUUACAAUUAAUAUUUCAAUAAAACACUUUAACAUCUAACUUACUUAUAUCUAUCAAUUAAAAAGUACUAAAAAGGAAACUUAAAUACUUUUAAGUAGUGAACAAUCCACGUACCUUGUGCAUUAUGGUUUUACAAGCAUAUAAUUAAAUAUAUAGUCCCGAAUACUACGCGAGCUGCCAUUUCAUAGCUAAGAGCCCCCUAUUAGUUAUAGCACCAACUUUAGAAAAUGUGAUGGCAGAGGCUACAUACCAUACGCGCUAGACAAUUGCUGGUUAUCAGUAAACUUUAUAUAUUAAACCAUGUAGAGCCUUUACAAUGUUAAAUCUUAGAGGACAAGCCCUAAGAUUAAAAGCCAAACAUCUUAAUUGUCCUAUCAGUAGGCCUAAAAUCAGCCAUCUAUAGUACUUUACCGUAUUGUAGCCCUAAUACAUAACAAUCCUGCCCAUUAAAACUGAUAUUUAAGAUAAACAUAAGAUCUUAAAAUAUUAUGUAAAAAUAAGUAUUAAGAAUUCUAUUUAAAUAUAAUCACCAAGCAAUCACUUAUAAAGGAACUCGGCAAUUCUUAUUUCGACUGUUAGA